RNAcentral lists this transfer RNA (82 nucleotides) under Frigoribacterium sp. MCBA15_019. RNAcentral's name for it is "tRNA-Leu". It matches the Rfam family "tRNA". From Rfam's summary of the family: Transfer RNA (tRNA) molecules are approximately 80 nucleotides in length. Lineage: Bacteria; Bacillati; Actinomycetota; Actinomycetes; Micrococcales; Microbacteriaceae. The record is from RNAcentral.
GCGGGCGUGACGUAAUGCAGACGUGCCGGCCUGAGUAGUCGGUGUCCUUCGGGGCGUGCGGGUUCAAGUCCCGCCGUGCGCA